This is a long non-coding RNA of Cebus imitator (Panamanian white-faced capuchin), 3474 nucleotides long. RefSeq lists it as uncharacterized. NCBI's taxonomy places the organism in Eukaryota, Metazoa, Chordata, Mammalia, Primates, Cebidae. The record is from RefSeq and is a predicted model, not a curated record. The transcript is spliced from 3 exons.
AUUUGGUGUUGCGUCCUUUAUUUUAAUGCUAAACUUGAACUUCCUAAGUUUCUUCUUCCAUCCCUGUUUGUGAAGAAUCCAGGGAGUGUUCUGCCAAAGAUUAAAAGACACAGAAUCACAGUGGUAAGCACACGGUAGGAACUUAAUGAAAGGAGAAGAAAAUUUGCUAUGGGGAAGUUAAGAAAUGUUUUCAAGAUCACAUGACUAGUGUUGAAAUUUAGACCUGCUUAACUCCAUACCCUCUCUUUCCACUACCACCAUUGUAUAUUAUGAAUGCUUGUAGUCAUCUCUGCCACUGCAAAUUAUGUGCUGUUAUCCACUGUCUCUUCCCCUCAACUACCACCUUUAUCAGUUAAACAAAAACCCACAGCUUGGAAACCAACCUAGAGGAUUUGAAAGGCACUUGUCCCUUUCCUGCUCUUUUAUCCCCUUUUAAAAUUAUUACAUUCUUCUCUUCUACAUAGUUUUUUUUUUUCCCUUCUGUCCAGCCUAGGUCAUCAUUAUACUCUUAGAGAAAGAUCUAAUAUUCUACUUUAGAAAAAUAUACAUAUAUUUUUCUUCACAUUAGAAAUCUGUGAAAACCCCAUAUUAACUCUUAAAUCCCUGGUUAAAAAAAUUUUUUUUAAGUUAUGAGUUAUAAAAUCUUUCAUAGAAUUACUGUUUUAUGUGAAACAUCUGCAAUAGUUUGGAACUUUUUUCUUUUUUAGUAAUUUAAGCCUAUAGUUGAAUAUUAGAUGUUUUCAUCCAGAUUUUGUGUUAUGGCUUAGUAUUUCUAGAACAAUCAUUAUAUUUUUAUUUUGAUUCAUUUUGGAUUCCCAUUCCCUAUGAAUUAAGUCUACAAUCCCUGUCAUUUAAGCCUCAAUUUACUUCCCACUUUUCCUCUUAGGGCACCCUAUAUUCCACCUUGAAAGUAACCUUUGUUCCCUACAUAUGCUAGGAACUUUCUCGUUUGCUGCCUUAACUCAUACUAACUUCUCCUUUCAUCCCUGCUUCCAUUAAUGCUGCCUAUUUUUAAAAGCCAGCUUAAAUGUUAUCUCAAACUUGAAACCAUGCAAAUGAUAUGUUAUCUCAAACUUGAAACCAUGUUAAUUUAAAGACAUAUCUUUUUUGUUGAACUCUGGAGGAAUUCAUCUUUAUACCCCUUCUUUGUCCUUUGAAAGGUCCCUUGCACAUAGUAGGCACUGACAUAUUAAUGAUAAGCUAUGUGAGUCAAAUGUAAAGUAUGGCAGCUAUUUUAACAUUAUUAUAGACAUUUCCAGAUACUUCUUAGAGCAUUUAUAUUGUUAUUGACUGCAUUUCACUAAAUAAUGGUAGUUUAAAAACUGCUUUAGUUAUAUAUUUGUUUUCAUUUUUUUUCCAAAUAAGCAAAAUCAUGAGAAAAAGGCCAUGGCUUUUAGCUCUUGCUUUAAAUACUAAUUUUAUACUUAUAUAUUGGAUGUUUAAAAUAGAAAUUUUUAUAUCAGUAACUUUAUAUCAGCCUAAAUCUUUAUAUCAGUAACUUUAUAUCUAUUUUUCCUACAAUGUCUUAUUUAUAUUACUCUCUCCAGAAGGGGUUAAAAAAAAAAAGUAUAGUUACCACCAAAAAUUUUUAAUUUGUUGCUCUUGAGACACUUCCAGUGUCUCAAAAAGAGAACUGGACUAGAAGUCAAACAUCCUGGAUUGUAGUUCUUACUCUUCAAUUGUUUUUACUGUAACUUUUGGCAGUACUCAGUCUCUUUGAAACCAAAUUUAUUUUACUGACGAUUUGAGGGAAUUGAAUUUAAUAAUCAAACUUGCAACUGUAAAAAUUAGGCUGCAGUAAUAUUUUUUAAAUGUUUAAACAACAUCUGUAAUCUCACCCUAAGAUAUUUGUUUUCAGUUUUGCAUGCUAUCUUUCAGAUUUGAUUCUAAGAUUCAUUUCAGUGGUGAAAGACUGAUUUGCAGUUUCAUGCUUGUAGACCAAGAAUUGGCAGACCUGAGAUACGGUCUUUCCUAGAUGGAUUCUACCAACUUGAAAUAAGUCCCAGACCUCAAUAAAGCUAUUUUUUUUCAUUCUAAAUUAUAAAUAAGAUUAUUUGUUCUGCUCUUUCAAUUGAUCAUCCUUAUGAGGUUCCAAUGACAUUAUGAUACUUGAAAUUAAUAAAUUAUAGAGCUCUGAAAAUGCCUGGCUUGAAGCUAGAAAACUGGAUCAGAUAAAACAAGGGACAAGAGCCAUUUUAACAUGAUCAUGAUUAUUUAGCCUUGGAAAAAUAACUGGUUUGGUAGAGUUGACUGAUGGAUAGUCUUUUGGGUACAUUUAUUUAUUUUUCACCUCCAUUUCAGAGAAACCUUAGGUCAGCUCUACUGAAUGAAAUGGUUCAUGCACCUCAUUGGUGAGUUGAAUUACUAUCUUUCCUAUUAUAAUAAUAUGAAUGAAAUGGUUUGUAUGACAUAAAAUAGAAUUAUAGGCUCCUGAAAGGUGAAAAUCUUGUUUUAAUACCGUCUGCUUAGCAUGAGACCCUUAAAUAGUUGGGGCUGUAUAAAUUUUCUUGUUUUCAUCUUGCGUUUUAUUUUGAAAGGCUUACUUUCCUGCCACACAAACCUAAUCAUUUCGUUACUCUGUAUAAAGCACUUUGGGAACCUCUCCCACCAUUGCUUCUUUCCAUGAAUACUGCCUCUUCCACCUGUGAGCUACAUGAGUCUAAAGUAUGACAGCUAUUUUAACAUUUUUACAGACAUUUCCAGAUACUUCUUAGAGCACUUAUAUUGUUAUUGACUGUAUUUCACUAAAUAAUGGGUAGUUUAAAAACUGCUAUUCCACCAGUAAAGGCAGAGACUGACUACCUUUUAUCUGUCUUUGUAUUCCUGGAACACAGCAUAACAGGUGACACAUACUUAUAUUUUUAGUAUGCAAAAAUUAGUGGUUAUUAAUUUUUCUUUAAUUCAGAGUUUUUAACUUGCCUGUAACUGACAUCCUAAAAUUAGGAAAUCACAUUUUGUUUUAUAAUGUUACUAAAAAUUUAAAAAGAAGUUUACUCUUAAGGUAAGUUUAUAUAAGCCUAUUUCAAUAUUUGAGAGCAAUUUAAAAUACAUCUUCUGCAGGAAAAGUUCUUAAACUGUUUUAAAAUAACACAUAAUGGCAAUUAGUUUUAUCAUGCAUGGUUUGGAAAGUGAACUUUACAAAAUAGGAAGCCAGAGCUCCAAUUAUAAAUAUCUAGUGAUAAAUGCAAUCAGUUAUUUAGAGAGAAUGUGCAAACCUCAGAUUGUGCAAAGAAAGGUUCCCAUGUGACCUCCACCAGCAAAGCUAAGUGGAUGACUGGGAGGACCAGUUAGCUAAUAUAGACAAAAGGGUAAAAGAUAAAAGGGAAAGUGAGUGGGUUUUUUUGUUUUUGUUUUGUUUUGUUUUAAGGAACUUGUACUCACUUACUAUCUACAUUUCCCAUGAUGGAAAAUACUUACUUGCAAUUGUCACAAAACAAUACAAAAUCUUCUGCUAAAUAAACAAAAUCCUAUCAA